This 468-nucleotide ribosomal RNA is filed under the name uncultured bacterium. Its description in RNAcentral is "partial 16S ribosomal RNA". It matches the Rfam family "Bacterial small subunit ribosomal RNA", at positions 28 to 507 of the family's 1533-position model. The record is from RNAcentral.
GACGAACGCUGGCGGUGUGCUUAACAUAUGCAAGUCGAACGGAAAGGCCCUGCUUUUGUGGGGUGCUCGAGUGGCGAACGGGUGAGUAACACGUGAGUAACCUGCCCUUGACUUUGGGAUAACUUCAGGAAACUGGGGCUAAUACCGGAUAGGAGCUCCUGCUGCAUGGUGGGGGUUGGAAAGUUUCGGCGGUUGGGGAUGGACUCGCGGCUUAUCAGCUUGUUGGUGGGGUAGUGGCUUACCAAGGCUUUGACGGGUAGCCGGCCUGAGAGGGUGACCGGCCACAUUGGGACUGAGAUACGGCCCAGACUCCUACGGGAGGCAGCAGUGGGGAAUAUUACACAAUGGGCGGAAGCCUGAUGCAGCAACGCCGCGUGCGGGAUGACGGCCUUCGGGUUGUAAACCGCUUUCGCCUGUGACGAAGCGUGAGUGACGGUAAUGGGUAAAGAAGCACCGGCUAACUACGUG